RNAcentral lists this ribosomal RNA (410 nucleotides) under uncultured microorganism. Its description in RNAcentral is "bacterial SSU rRNA". It matches the Rfam family "Bacterial small subunit ribosomal RNA", at positions 509 to 917 of the family's 1533-position model. The record is from RNAcentral.
CAGCCGCCGCGGUAAUACGUAGGGUGCGAGCGUUAAUCGGAUUUACUGGGCGUAAAGCGUGCGCAGGCGGCCCGUUAAGACAGGUGUGAAAUCCCUGGGCUCAACCUAGGAAUUGCGCUUGUGACUGGCGGGCUCGAGUACGGUAGAGGGGGGUGGAAUUCCUGGUGUAGCAGUGAAAUGCGUAGAGAUCAGGAGGAACACCGAUGGCGAAGGCAGCCCCCUGGGCCUGUACUGACGCUCAUGCACGAAAGCGUGGGGAGCAAACAGGAUUAGAUAACCUGGUAGUCCACGCCCUAAACGAUGGGUACUAGCCGUUUGGUGCGCGAGAGCGCUGAGUGGCGAAGCUAACGCGUGAAGUACCCCGCCUGGGGAGUACGGCCGCAAGGUUGAAACUUAAAGGAAUUGGCGGG